Molecule: unclassified non-coding RNA, 221 nt
Filed under: uncultured fungus
Lineage: Eukaryota; Fungi
Description: sequence contains ITS1, 5.8S rRNA gene
Rfam family: 5.8S ribosomal RNA (bases 173-221)
Source: RNAcentral
UCUCCGUUGGUGAACCAGCGGAGGGAUCAUUAGCGAGUUUUAAUACUCCCAAACCCACUGUGAACCUUUGGGAGGGUGCGACGCGUUGCGAAGCGCCCUCUCGUUUCUGUAACCAACUCUGAUGUCUAUUUGAAUGUGCGAAUCGGGGCAGCCCCGAUGUCGAAUUUGAAACAACUUUCAACAACGGAUCUCUUGGCUCUCGCAUCGAUGAAGAACGCAGC